GGUUAAGCGACUAAGCGUACACGGUGGAUGCCCUGGCAGUCAGAGGCGAUGAAGGACGUGCUAAUCUGCGAUAAGCGUCGGUGAGGUGAUAUGAACCGUUAUAACCGGCGAUUUCCGAAUGGGGAAACCCAGUGUGAUUCGUCACACUAUCAUUAACUGAAUCCAUAGGUUAAUGAGGCGAACCGGGGAACUGAAACAUCUAAGUACCCCGAGGAAAAGAAAUCAACCGAGAUUCCCCCAGUAGCGGCGAGCGAACGGGGAGCAGCCCAGAGCCUGAAUCAGUGUGUGUGUUAGUGGAAGCGUCUGGAAAGGCGCGCGAUACAGGGUGACAGCCCCGUACACAAAAAUGCACAUAUUGUGAGCUCGAUGAGUAGGGCGGGACACGUGGUAUCCUGUCUGAAUAUGGGGGGACCAUCCUCCAAGGCUAAAUACUCCUGACUGACCGAUAGUGAACCAGUACCGUGAGGGAAAGGCGAAAAGAACCCCGGCGAGGGGAGUGAAAAAGAACCUGAAACCGUGUACGUACAAGCAGUGGGAGCACGCUUAGGCGUGUGACUGCGUACCUUUUGUAUAAUGGGUCAGCGACUUAUAUUCUGUAGCAAGGUUAACCGAAUAGGGGAGCCGAAGGGAAACCGAGUCUUAACUGGGCGUUAAGUUGCAGGGUAUAGACCCGAAACCCGGUGAUCUAGCCAUGGGCAGGUUGAAGGUUGGGUAACACUAACUGGAGGACCGAACCGACUAAUGUUGAAAAAUUAGCGGAUGACUUGUGGCUGGGGGUGAAAGGCCAAUCAAACCGGGAGAUAGCUGGUUCUCCCCGAAAGCUAUUUAGGUAGCGCCUCGUGAAUUCAUCUCCGGGGGUAGAGCACUGUUUCGGCAAGGGGGUCAUCCCGACUUACCAACCCGAUGCAAACUGCGAAUACCGGAGAAUGUUAUCACGGGAGACACACGGCGGGUGCUAACGUCCGUCGUGAAGAGGGAAACAACCCAGACCGCCAGCUAAGGUCCCAAAGUCAUGGUUAAGUGGGAAACGAUGUGGGAAGGCCCAGACAGCCAGGAUGUUGGCUUAGAAGCAGCCAUCAUUUAAAGAAAGCGUAAUAGCUCACUGGUCGAGUCGGCCUGCGCGGAAGAUGUAACGGGGCUAAACCAUGCACCGAAGCUGCGGCAGCGACGCUGAUGCGUUGUUGGGUAGGGGAGCGUUCUGUAAGCCUGCGAAGGUGUGCUGUGAGGCAUGCUGGAGGUAUCAGAAGUGCGAAUGCUGACAUAAGUAACGAUAAAGCGGGUGAAAAGCCCGCUCGCCGGAAGACCAAGGGUUCCUGUCCAACGUUAAUCGGGGCAGGGUGAGUCGACCCCUAAGGCGAGGCCGAAAGGCGUAGUCGAUGGGAAACAGGUUAAUAUUCCUGUACUUGGUGUUACUGCGAAGGGGGGACGGAGAAGGCUAUGUUGGCCGGGCGACGGUUGUCCCGGUUUAAGCGUGUAGGCUGGUUUUCCAGGCAAAUCCGGAAAAUCAAGGCUGAGGCGUGAUGACGAGGCACUACGGUGCUGAAGCAACAAAUGCCCUGCUUCCAGGAAAAGCCUCUAAGCAUCAGGUAACAUCAAAUCGUACCCCAAACCGACACAGGUGGUCAGGUAGAGAAUACCAAGGCGCUUGAGAGAACUCGGGUGAAGGAACUAGGCAAAAUGGUGCCGUAACUUCGGGAGAAGGCACGCUGAUAUGUAGGUGAAGUCCCUUGCGGAUGGAGCUGAAAUCAGUCGAAGAUACCAGCUGGCUGCAACUGUUUAUUAAAAACACAGCACUGUGCAAACACGAAAGUGGACGUAUACGGUGUGACGCCUGCCCGGUGCCGGAAGGUUAAUUGAUGGGGUUAGCGCAAGCGAAGCUCUUGAUCGAAGCCCCGGUAAACGGCGGCCGUAACUAUAACGGUCCUAAGGUAGCGAAAUUCCUUGUCGGGUAAGUUCCGACCUGCACGAAUGGCGUAAUGAUGGCCAGGCUGUCUCCACCCGAGACUCAGUGAAAUUGAACUCGCUGUGAAGAUGCAGUGUACCCGCGGCAAGACGGAAAGACCCCGUGAACCUUUACUAUAGCUUGACACUGAACAUUGAGCCUUGAUGUGUAGGAUAGGUGGGAGGCUUAGAAGUGUGGACGCCAGUCUGCAUGGAGCCGACCUUGAAAUACCACCCUUUAAUGUUUGAUGUUCUAACGUUGACCCGUAAUCCGGGUUGCGGACAGUGUCUGGUGGGUAGUUUGACUGGGGCGGUCUCCUCCUAAAGAGUAACGGAGGAGCACGAAGGUUGGCUAAUCCUGGUCGGACAUCAGGAGGUUAGUGCAAUGGCAUAAGCCAGCUUGACUGCGAGCGUGACGGCGCGAGCAGGUGCGAAAGCAGGUCAUAGUGAUCCGGUGGUUCUGAAUGGAAGGGCCAUCGCUCAACGGAUAAAAGGUACUCCGGGGAUAACAGGCUGAUACCGCCCAAGAGUUCAUAUCGACGGCGGUGUUUGGCACCUCGAUGUCGGCUCAUCACAUCCUGGGGCUGAAGUAGGUCCCAAGGGUAUGGCUGUUCGCCAUUUAAAGUGGUACGCGAGCUGGGUUUAGAACGUCGUGAGACAGUUCGGUCCCUAUCUGCCGUGGGCGCUGGAGAACUGAGGGGGGCUGCUCCUAGUACGAGAGGACCGGAGUGGACGCAUCACUGGUGUUCGGGUUGUCAUGCCAAUGGCACUGCCCGGUAGCUAAAUGCGGAAGAGAUAAGUGCUGAAAGCAUCUAAGCACGAAACUUGCCCCGAGAUGAGUUCUCCCUGACUCCUUGAGAGUCCUGAAGGAACGUUGAAGACGACGACGUUGAUAGGCCGGGUGUGUAAGCGCAGCGAUGCGUUGAGCUAACCGGUACUAAUGAACCGUGAGGCUUAACCUU
This 2903-nucleotide ribosomal RNA is filed under the name Escherichia coli. Its description in RNAcentral is "23S ribosomal RNA". It matches the Rfam family "Bacterial large subunit ribosomal RNA". The record is from RNAcentral. Lineage: Bacteria; Pseudomonadati; Pseudomonadota; Gammaproteobacteria; Enterobacterales; Enterobacteriaceae.